CCCGGCCCCUGGAGUCCCCUGGGUCUCUCUAUGUCACCACCAGGAGAGUGAUUUGGUUGAGUGACGCCGACAGAGGGAAAGGAUACGCGGUGGAUUUUCUGUCGUUGUCCCUUCACGCUGUAUCGAGGGACCGGGAGGCCUACCCAUUUCCUUGCAUCUAUACUAAGAUUGAGACGGGUGAUGAGGAUGAUGAAGAGGAGUCCGAAGACUCAUAUUCAGAAAUAAAUGGUGAUUUGGUGUUGUCAAA
Zingiber officinale is the source of this 247-nucleotide long non-coding RNA. RefSeq lists it as uncharacterized. NCBI's taxonomy places the organism in Eukaryota, Viridiplantae, Streptophyta, Magnoliopsida, Zingiberales, Zingiberaceae. The record is from RefSeq and is a predicted model, not a curated record. The transcript has 3 exons.